This is a long non-coding RNA of Apis florea (little honeybee), 696 nucleotides long. The record is from RefSeq and is a predicted model, not a curated record. Lineage: Eukaryota; Metazoa; Arthropoda; Insecta; Hymenoptera; Apidae.
GCGUACGUACGUUGUCGGUUUCUACGUUUGUCUCGCCCUCGCUAUUUUCUCUCUUCUAUUAAUAGCCAUCUAUCCAUCGUGAUUCCCUCCGCGACGACGACCGCGACGCCUUCCAUUCCCAGGAAUUUCACGACACGCGAGUCGUGCAUUUUGCCAAACACUUAUAGGUAUACUUAAUUAGUGGAGCGGCAAUUAGUAUUACUCGCUCGUUACGCUUUUCGUUUCUUUCCGAUCGAUCGAACCGGCGCAAUUCUUUCCUCGUGCGGGGGAGUUCCCCCUUUGUUCGAUUUACAGUUGGCCGGCCGCCGUCGUCGUUUUCCGCAUCGAAGAAUUCCACUCCAGAUUCAGAAAUCCACGGACGGAAACGAUACGAUACGAUUUUAAUUGUUUAAUUGUCGUUGGACUGCGAAAAAUCGCGAUUUAUCAAAAUCAAGAAUGAGAAUUCGAGCCGAUAUUCCGUUGAUUAUAACGAGGAUAAAAAAAAAAAAUCCGGCGCUCAAUUGAUAUUUUCGUAUCGAGUUUUCAAACGACACGAAUGACCCUUUGUCGAGUAGGAGACACUUUAAAUUCCAUCUCGUUGCUCGUCGUGGCCGACGCCUUAUCUUUAAUUCGAUUACAAGCCCAGUUGAAUUACACCGAAGGAUGAGGAGAGAGAAGAAAAAGAAGAAAAUUCUUGUCAAAAACUUGUAUCGAGGA